Molecule: ribosomal RNA, 253 nt
Filed under: uncultured bacterium
Lineage: Bacteria
Description: partial 16S ribosomal RNA
Rfam family: Bacterial small subunit ribosomal RNA
Source: RNAcentral
AACGUAGGUGGCGAGCGUUAUCCGGAUUCAUUGGGCGUAAAGAGCUUGUAGGUGGCCUGAUAAGUUGGACGUGAAAACUCCGGGCUUAACUUGGAGAGGCCGUUCAAUACUGUGAGGCUGGAGGAUGUCAGAGGGAAGUAGAAUUCCUGGUGUAGCAGUGAAAUGCGUAGAUCUCAGGAGGAAUACCCGUGGCGAAGGCUGCUUCCUGGGACAUAACUGACACUGAGAACCGAAAGCUCGGGGAGCAAACGGG